CGUCUCUGUACCACAGUACGGUACACUGCUUAUAGCAGCCCCACGUUUGCAGCGCUCCCGUGGAGAUCUCCGGCGAAGUUUUCAGGUGAUGUCAACAACAGGAAGGACGACUUCGAGCCAGGUUUCCAUUUCUCAUCAGCCGCUGCCUCCACACCGCCGGGCUGCGGCUCCCGGACCCGGCUCCGCGCUGCAGCCCCCGCCGCGCUCCGUGCCCGGGACGAGCCCCACCGCCUCCAGCCCGCCCGCUCGCU
RNAcentral lists this long non-coding RNA (251 nucleotides) under Gallus gallus (chicken). The record is from RNAcentral. Lineage: Eukaryota; Metazoa; Chordata; Aves; Galliformes; Phasianidae.